GAGGUUGGUGGUCGGGCGUGGGUGGGUUGUCGGGAGUAUAGUGGGGAGACAAAGCGAACGGGGCCAAAUUCGAGGAGAGGGUUCGCUUCAGCGGCCGCUAAACCGGGUGCCGCUUGGGUAAGGUCGCCCUCUAGAUAUCCGUGGUACAGACUGCGACCAUCAACACUACCCUGGCGUCGGAGACCCCUACGUCGAUUACUGUUGUGGUUAUCCGUCGGUAACGUUCGGUUACUACUUGUCCGUGGAGGACGAGGUUGAAGUGCUUAUAGUCAGUCUUUUCGUCAUCUUCACUAGGUCUGUAAACUGCUAAUGUUCUCCACCGAGUAAUGACUUUAACCCAAACCACCUUACGAUUUCGAUGGGAACGACGUCUUCGAGUUGGAAUUCAAGUCACGGACCUGAUACUCGUUCCAGACGCAGCUCGCGGCUCGUUAACAAGACAGUCUUUGGUUCCAUGAUUUCAAAAAACGCCUUCUGUAGGUGUUCCAAAAACCGUAAGGCACACCAGUGGCUUCACAAUUUCCCGCGCUACCGAAGUAGUUCGGUCUUCGCUAUUGUAAGUAUUUCUCCUGCAAUCCCUACCUGUCCUGCCCUCACGUAUCGGACGCACGCCGACUCCUUAAGGAAGAGGCACUGUAAAGGCUCCGAAGGUCGUUCUACCUCUUCCUAACGAACAUCUAACGUAAGCAGUAUAAACAAUACCCGGUACCACACCGUGGAUCUUGUUUUGUACUAAUACCGUGGUAUCUGAUGACCCCACGCGACCGUUUAUGCCUCUUAUAUAGUGUUAAGUUGACCACACUCAAACAUGAACUGAAAAACGAUCUCCGUCAGGCCGCCGAAUUCUUGCUAUACUACCGGUUGUUAAACUUGUGGUUAGAACAACCAACGGUGAACAAAAAUGUCUAUAAGAAGGAGCUGUUACAACUGGAACCUUAAAAGUUAUUAUUGGUAUUACAGGAAGGAGUGUAAUCACUGAAGCUGGUUUCGUCGUACUUCUUGUACUAUUGUUACCGCUGAGUGUAACCCUUCCCGGGGUGUAGGAUGAGCUUUACGUACUAAGCAGUUCCAUUACUAGAUACGAUGCGAGCAACGUUGUAACGACUAAGGUGACUCUCUUGUAGGUUGGUCGGUCAACUACCGCCGUUAUACCUCCUUCUACAACCGUUCAAGUUGUUACUGUCCUUGCUAAGUCGAGUACAUCGUAGAAGUCGACAGCCCUUGGAUUACCUACAAGUCUGUGGUGACGCAUACGAACCUGGUUACCUGAAAUAUCUCGUGUACGUCUCGGCUAUGGGGUCAGACCAAUCCCUACUCAACUCAAAAUAUAACUUCCUCGUCUUACGGUUUACGGUCGCACUUUAGUUGUGGCGGGCGCGUUUAUACGUCCGUCUGUACUAGUUUAAACACCUGUUUGAUUACCGUAGUUAGUCGUUCUCCACGUAGACGACAUGACGAUCUCCAAAAUGAUUGACAGACUGUUCUCGUCAUCUAUGUAAAGAUCAACUGUGUGACUCCUGAGGCCAGCCGGUCUUUUAUGGUCCACAGUCCGAGCUAUACAGACGAACGUUUCUACCGUUGAGACUUGGCUCCAAGGUACCACUACUGGUCAGUCUGGCAGUCGUCUUGUUCUCCAACGCUGUACUCCUUCCUCGUGAGCGUUGUUACUGUAGAGUCUAAAAAAGUCAAACGUUCCGUCUGUGACGUUCGAUAGUCACUUAACAAAUAACUGGAAGGCUUACUACCUUCGUGGUGCCACAAACCUGUUUUCCGUCUCCCUGAAGAACCUUCUUUUAUACAGAAGUCUAGACCUAAGGUCUAUCUGGGUACCUAGUCCCCACGACAGGGCGAUGGUGGCGUCGGCAUACACAGGGUUGUUAACCUUCCCAAGAAACGAUGUCGUGGCUGUCUUCUUAAUACGUCCUUAAAAGAACGAGUACUCUUAGGCUCCAAGAAUGCUUAUUGCCCAAGUUACAACUUUACGGUCGACCAACUUCUACUCGAAUAGCUGGUACUCCACUACAGUCAGUAAUAGUCUUCCAUAACAGUCAGACUGGUCCUUCGUCUAUUUGUGAGUGGUAUGAAUUGAACCUCCGUGGGUUAACUUGGUCUUAAGAGCUGCGAACAUGAUAACCUAGUACUAAAGGAUGUAUGCCACAGUUACGUCUUUCGUAACACACGGCUGAGUGAGUUUAUACUGUAGUGUAGUCGAGUCGACAAGAAGUGGGGGCAAGGUGCCGGAUUUCCUACCUAACAUCAAAAGACCCUGUACCAUCGGGCGGAGUACAAACAUUAACUAGGUUACAUGUCGUUCUCUUCGGUUGGGAACUGGUGAGUCGUCUCUCUACUCUAAUGUCGAACCUUCGAUGUACUACGGAACAAAUAAACGAAUUUACUCAUAAUACGACCGACCGGACACUCCUUUCUACCUACCUUUCAGUGCAAGGGGCGUGAACAACUAUCGUAAAAAAGAGCAUUACUCUGACCUCGAACGCAGCAGGUAUAUCGGGCGGUAAAGCUACCCUUUUUCGACUUCUACGGGGAGUGGUUCCCAAAGGCUGCUACGCGUAAGUCACCCUCCUCUGCAAGGGCAGCUGCUGCUCCACAGAUGCCACUGAAGUAUUUAAAGUUUUACUAUACGGCCAAUUCAGAAAGCUUCCACGAGUAUCCCCAUUCCACACGCACACACGCAAAUAUCCCUACUCAUAUACUUGCGAACGCAGACAUGACACAAUUUUUUUCAUAAAAGCUUGCUUUCCUCAUUUAUAAUGAACUUUGUGUUAAAAUUACAUAAAAUAUGAGGGAGGUAGAUCUUUAUAAACAGAAUUUUUAUCUAUUUUAUCUACAUAGAUAUUAAUUUUAUUUAGAUCUAUAUUAAUAAAAAACCUGUUCAUAAAAGCUUACUUCCCUCAUAGUAUAUAACCUCUACGAGAUGAUGAUCAUAAUAUGAUAUACGUACUCUUUUGGUCAUCAUAAAUGAGUGGCCAGCGGUGGAUAUUCUCGUAGAGGUUGUCUGCGGGGUUUGCUGCGCGCACGCGCCAUUUGAGUCGAAAAUCGCGCGCGCCCUGCCAAACGGCGCGAGAUCGCCGGCGCCCUUUGUUUGAGCGCGGCCU
Molecule: ribosomal RNA, 3113 nt
Filed under: Triticum aestivum (bread wheat)
Lineage: Eukaryota; Viridiplantae; Streptophyta; Magnoliopsida; Poales; Poaceae
Description: partial small subunit ribosomal RNA
Source: RNAcentral